This is an RNA transcript of Humulus lupulus (European hop), 683 nucleotides long. It is a transcript of the gene named protein NONRESPONDING TO OXYLIPINS 2, mitochondrial-like, with no coding region annotated. Lineage: Eukaryota; Viridiplantae; Streptophyta; Magnoliopsida; Rosales; Cannabaceae. The transcript has 4 exons. The record is from RefSeq and is a predicted model, not a curated record.
CUUUCAAUUCAUCUCUUUCCUUUGAGACAGAGAAUUGAGAUCUCGGCUGCUCCUUCGUCUUCGUCUUCGUCUUCGCGUUUCUGACAGUAAUGGCCUCAGCCUGCAACCGAUUGGCGAACAGAGCAUCCUUUUCGUCCAUUAGAGCCGCCAUAAGAUCAACUCCAUUCAACCGCAAACCUCCCUCUUCCUCUCUCCCUACCUCUUCUACCACUCCUCUCAACCGCUUCUCUCUAUCCAGGCCUCCAGCGCAACUGGGAUGCGUGCAGUCACUUUUGCCAUUCCACAGCGCGGUCGCGGCGGCCAGAUUGACGGCAUGUCUCAGCACAACCUCCCGGAGCUGCCGUGCUCUCUCACAGGGCACAUAAUACCUAUAGGCCUUAAAGAAAAAAUUUGGGAUUUUACCAGACCUGCUAGAAAUGUCCCACUGCAUCAUUAUCAAAGCUUGGUUUGUCGGUUCCAAGGUGACUUGCGUGAAGAAGACUCGCUAUAACAAGAAGCUAUUUUGAUGAACUGGAAGAAAAGAUUCUUAUAGUUUUUACUUAUUAAAACUCCAGCUUUUUACUAUGUAGCUACAAUGAUUCCAACUCAAAUUUCAUCCAACACAUGAUAUUGUGAUUGAGAAAUAAUGUUUCAGUUUGUGCUGUUCAAUUUUUUUACUAAUUGAAAAAACAAUCUUUCCUAUC